UAUAAACAAAAAAGGAUUGAAAUUAAAUAUAUCAAGAAUAAUGGAGUAGCAAAUAAUUAAAUAAAAUAUGAAACAAACUCAAACAAAGUAAAGGAUUAAAUUAAAAUCAAAACAGAAUCGGAAGGAGAAAAAUGAAAAUAAAUCAAAAUGGAGGGCAAAAUCGUGGCGCACGAAUAAUAUGAGGACCGAAUGGGAAAUAUUCCCUUCCCCCAAAAUGCAGUGUCUUUAGUGUGGACCGAAACAUGAUCACAUCAAACAUACAGGAUCGAUUUAGAAAAUAAAGAAAGAUCGGAUUGAAACCACGAAACAAAUCAGAAGGGCUAAUGGCACAAAUGUCCCCUUCGAGACCAAAACGCACGAGUCUGGCCACGCUCGGGUCGGGUCAUCGGGUACUGCCAAUACGGUGUCGUUUUAAACCAUUGAAACACGGUCUAAACGACAUCGUUUCAAAAAUCAGUAUUAAAUAAAAAAAACUAAACCUAAGUUUGGAUACCCUAAAAUCGGAUACCAGAGGACUCACCUCCCUCCGCCGUUGCACAAGCCCGAACCCUAUCCAACUCCAUUUCGGACGGAAUCGACAGGGCUCCGACGGCACGCUUUCGCGAAUGUAAGAGUCUCCUUCCUCCUCUUCUUUUAUUUUUCGUUUCUAAAGUAGGAACAAAUCGAAGAAAACCGAAAAUAAAAAAAAUAGAAAUAAAAGAUCAGACAAAAUCGGAGAAUCACCUAAACGAUAUGUUUUUC
RNAcentral lists this long non-coding RNA (741 nucleotides) under Gossypium barbadense (sea-island cotton). RNAcentral's name for it is "long non-coding RNA (GBAR_LNC021822)". Lineage: Eukaryota; Viridiplantae; Streptophyta; Magnoliopsida; Malvales; Malvaceae. The record is from RNAcentral.